Molecule: ribosomal RNA, 439 nt
Filed under: uncultured bacterium
Lineage: Bacteria
Description: partial 16S ribosomal RNA
Rfam family: Bacterial small subunit ribosomal RNA
Source: RNAcentral
CUACGGGACGCUCCAGUGAGCAAUAUUGCACAAUGGAGGAAACUCUGAUGCAGCAACGCCGCGUGGAGGGUGACGCAUUUCGGUGUGUAAACUCCUUUUAUGAGUCAAGAAAAUGACGGUAGCUCAUGAAUAAGCACCGGCUAACUCCGUGCCAGCAGCCGCGGUAAUACGGAGGGUGCAAGCGUUACUCGGAAUCACUGGGCGUAAAGGACGCGUAGGCGGGAUAUCAAGUCAGGUGUGAAAUCCUACAGCUUAACUGUAGAACAGCACUUGAAACUGGUAACCUAGAGUAUGGGAGGGGGAGAUGGAAUUAGUGGUGUAGGGGUAAAAUCCGUAGAUAUCACUAGGAAUACCUAAAGCGAAGGCGAUCUCCUGGAACAUAACUGACGCUAAGGCGUGAAAGCGUGGGGAGCAAACAGGAUUAGAUACCCGAGUAGUC